RNAcentral lists this ribosomal RNA (253 nucleotides) under uncultured bacterium. Its description in RNAcentral is "partial 16S ribosomal RNA". It matches the Rfam family "Bacterial small subunit ribosomal RNA", at positions 524 to 776 of the family's 1533-position model. The record is from RNAcentral.
UACGAAGGGGGCUAGCGUUGCUCGGAAUUACUGGGCGUAAAGGGAGCGUAGGCGGACAUUUAAGUCAGGGGUGAAAGCCCAGAGCUCAACUCUGGAACUGCCAUUGAAACUGUCGAGCUGGAAUCUCAGAGGGGGUAGCGGAAUUCCAAAUGUAGGGGUGAAAUCCGUAGAUAUUUGGAGGAACACCGGUGGCGAAGGCGGCUACCUGGAUGAGUAUUGACACUGAGGCUCGAAAGCGUGGGGAUCAAACAGG